UGCUACCUGGUUGAUCCUGCC
This 21-nucleotide ribosomal RNA is filed under the name Solidago rigida. Its description in RNAcentral is "partial 18S ribosomal RNA". The record is from RNAcentral. RNAcentral also lists the same sequence under 1 other name. Lineage: Eukaryota; Viridiplantae; Streptophyta; Magnoliopsida; Asterales; Asteraceae.